Molecule: ribosomal RNA, 492 nt
Filed under: uncultured bacterium
Lineage: Bacteria
Description: partial 16S ribosomal RNA
Rfam family: Bacterial small subunit ribosomal RNA
Source: RNAcentral
CGAACGCUGGCGGCGUGCUUAACACAUGCAAGUCGAACGGUGAAGCGCCUUCCUUUUUGGUGGGUGUGGAUGAGUGGCGAACGGGUGAGUAACACGUGAGUAACCUGCCCCCUUCUUCUGGAUAACCGCAUGAAAGUGUGGCUAAUACGGGAUAUUCUGGGUCUGUCGCAUGAUGGGUCUGGGAAAGAUAUUGUUUCGGUGGGGGAUGGGCUCGCGGCCUAUCAGCUUGUUGGUGGGGUGAUGGCCUACCAAGGCGGUGACGGGUAGCCGGCCUGAGAGGGUGGACGGUCACACUGGGACUAAGACACGGCCCAGACUCCUACGGGAGGCAGCAGUGGGGAAUAUUGCACAAUGGGCGCAAGCCUGAUGCAGCGACGCCGCGUGAGGGAUGGAGGCCUUCGGGUUGUGAACCUCUUUCGCCAGUGAAGCAGGCCUGCCUCGUUUGUGGGUGGGUUGACGGUAGCUGGAUAAGAAGCGCCGGCUAACUACGUG